UGGGGAAUAUUGGACAAUGGGGGCAACCCUGAUCCAGCAAUGCCGCGUGAGUGAUGAAGGCCUUAGGGUUGUAAAGCUCUUUCGGCGGGGACGAUGAUGACGGUACCCGCAGAAGAAGCCCCGGCUAACUUCGUGCCAGCAGCCGCGGUAAUACGAAGGGGGCGAGCGUUGUUCGGAAUUACUGGGCGUAAAGGGCGCGCAGGCGGCUCUGAAAGUCAGAUGUGAAAGCCCCGGGCUUAACCUGGGAAUUGCAUUUGAUACUCUAGAGCUUGAGUACGGGAGAGGAGAGUGGAAUUCCCAGUGUAGAGGUGAAAUUCGUAGAUAUUGGGAAGAACACCGGUGGCGAAGGCGGCUCUCUGGACCGUAACUGACGCUGAGGCGCGAAAGCGUGGGGAGCAAACAGGAUUAGAUACCCCCGUAGUCC
Molecule: ribosomal RNA, 424 nt
Filed under: uncultured bacterium
Lineage: Bacteria
Description: bacterial SSU rRNA
Rfam family: Bacterial small subunit ribosomal RNA
Source: RNAcentral